CGUUGGAUUUAUUUGUACGAAACUUACUUUCCGAAUUUGGCAAAGUUAAUUAACGCCACGGACCGAUAUUGCAGAUUGGCUUGUACAUUUUUAGGCAGUGACAAUUUAUUUUUGGAGUCGGAGAUACACAACUUGUUGGAAGCCUGCCUACAGCACAUCAUUAAAAAUCACGAGGAGAAUAUUAACUUUAACAGGCCGAUUGAAGGUUUAAAUAAUUUCCAAGACUUUUACACGCAACUCUUGGAGCAGUAUCAAGGUGUGAGUUAUGGGGACGUGCUAUUCGGUAACUUUGUUCUGUUACCUUUAAUUCAAAGGCACAGUGUGCGGUAUCGCAAAACUCUAUGGUCGGAGUACGCCGGCAUCGUUCAAAUAUUUAAUGUGACGGCGGAACAAGUGGUUUGUCCCGUGGAAUUGUUUUUAACACCUGAGGAAACCGACAUCUCGCUACUCAAAUGUUAUAGACGAGCUUUAGUUACAGGACAAAUUCGAAAACAUUCAAUUUUGCAUACUAUUGCAAAUCAUCAUGUAAAUAGGUUUUUAUCAAGGAAAAAUGAAAAUAAAAUGCAGGUAUGACUUGGUUUUUCAUAGGAAACAUGUUCUUGUUCCUUCCAUGUUAGCAGUCGUCCUAGAAAAAUGCAACUUAUGAGACCAUCCCUCGUAUU
Photinus pyralis (common eastern firefly) is the source of this 662-nucleotide long non-coding RNA. RefSeq lists it as uncharacterized. NCBI's taxonomy places the organism in Eukaryota, Metazoa, Arthropoda, Insecta, Coleoptera, Lampyridae. The record is from RefSeq and is a predicted model, not a curated record. The transcript has 3 exons.